This 497-nucleotide unclassified non-coding RNA is filed under the name Fusarium sp. R2. RNAcentral describes it as "sequence contains ITS1, 5.8S rRNA gene, ITS2". The stretch from base 117 to 270 matches the Rfam family "5.8S ribosomal RNA". Lineage: Eukaryota; Fungi; Ascomycota; Sordariomycetes; Hypocreales; Nectriaceae. The record is from RNAcentral.
CUUAAUGUUGCCUCGGCGGAUCAGCCCGCGCCCCGUAAAACGGGACGGCCCGCCAGAGGACCCAAACUCUAAUGUUUCUUAUUGUAACUUCUGAGUAAAACAAACAAAUAAAUCAAAACUUUCAACAACGGAUCUCUUGGUUCUGGCAUCGAUGAAGAACGCAGCAAAAUGCGAUAAGUAAUGUGAAUUGCAGAAUUCAGUGAAUCAUCGAAUCUUUGAACGCACAUUGCGCCCGCUGGUAUUCCGGCGGGCAUGCCUGUUCGAGCGUCAUUUCAACCCUCAAGCCCCCGGGUUUGGUGUUGGGGAUCGGCUCUGCCUUCUGGCGGUGCCGCCCCCGAAAUACAUUGGCGGUCUCGCUGCAGCCUCCAUUGCGUAGUAGCUAACACCUCGCAACUGGAACGCGGCGCGGCCAUGCCGUAAAACCCCAACUUCUGAAUGUUGACCUCGGAUCAGGUAGGAAUACCCGCUGAACUUAAGCAUAUCAAUUAAGCGGAGGA